This 712-nucleotide ribosomal RNA is filed under the name uncultured bacterium. RNAcentral's name for it is "bacterial SSU rRNA". It matches the Rfam family "Bacterial small subunit ribosomal RNA", at positions 28 to 774 of the family's 1533-position model. The record is from RNAcentral.
AUUGAACGCUGGCGGCAUGCCUAACACAUGCAAGUCGAACGCGAAAGUUCCUUCGGGGACGAGUAGAGUGGCGGACGGGUGAGUAACGCGUGGGAAUCUGCCCAGUAGUGGGGGACAACCCGGGGAAACUCGGGCUAAUACCGCAUACGCCCUAUGGGGGAAAGGCUUCGGCCGCUAUUGGAUGAGCCCGCGUCGGAUUAGCUUGUUGGUAGGGUAAUGGCCUACCAAGGCGACGAUCUGUAGCUGGUCUGAGAGGACGACCAGCCACACUGGGACUGAGACACGGCCCCAGACUCCUACGGGAGGCAGCAGUGGGGAAUAUUGGACAAUGGCGAAGCCUGAUCCAGCAAUGCCGCGUGUGUGAAGAAGGCCUGCGGGUUGUAAAGCACUUUCAGUAGGGAAGAUAAUGACGGUACCUACAGAAGAAGCACCGGCUAACUCCGUGCCAGCAGCCGCGGUAAUACGGAGGGUGCGAGCGUUAAUCGGAAUUACUGGGCGUAAAGCGCGCGUAGGCGGUUUUGUAAGUCGGAUGUGAAAUCCCCGGGCUUAACCUGGGAAUUGCAUUCGAUACUGCAUGACUAGAGUCUAGAAGAGGGAUGCGGAAUUCCGGGUGUAGCGGUGAAAUGCGUAGAGAUCCGGAGGGACAUCAGUGGCGAAGGCGGCAUCCUGGGCUAAGACUGACGCUGAGGUGCGAAAGCGUGGGGAGCAAACA